ACUCCUACGGGAGGCAGCAGUGGGAAUAUUGCACAAUGGGCGCAAGCCUGAUGCAGCGACGCCGCGUGGGGAUGGACGGCCUCGGGCUUGGUUAAACCUCUUUCAAUAGGGACGAAGCGCAAGUGACGGUACCUAUAGAAGAAGCACCGGCCAACUACGUGCCAGCAGCCGCGGUAAUACGUAGGGUGCGAGCGUUGUCCGGAAUUACUGGGCGUAAAGAGCUCGUAGGUGGUUUGUCGCGUUGUCCGUGAAAUCUCACAGCUUAACUGUGAGCGUGCGGGCGAUACGGGCAGACUGGAGUACUGCAGGGGAGACUGGAAUUCCUGGUGUAGCGGUGGAAUGCGCAGAUAUCAGGAGGAACACCGGUGGCGAAGGCGGGUCUCUGGGCAGUAACUGACGCUGAGGAGCGAAAGCGUGGGGAGCGAACAGGAUUAGAUACCCUGGUAGGCUCUG
This 453-nucleotide ribosomal RNA is filed under the name uncultured bacterium. Its description in RNAcentral is "bacterial SSU rRNA". It matches the Rfam family "Bacterial small subunit ribosomal RNA", at positions 335 to 799 of the family's 1533-position model. The record is from RNAcentral.